RNAcentral lists this non-coding RNA (45 nucleotides) under Schistosoma haematobium. The record is from RNAcentral. Lineage: Eukaryota; Metazoa; Platyhelminthes; Trematoda; Strigeidida; Schistosomatidae.
AUUCAUCUGAAGAGUCCUGAAUAAGACGAAAUGGACAUCCUAGAU